RNAcentral lists this ribosomal RNA (500 nucleotides) under uncultured bacterium. RNAcentral's name for it is "partial 16S ribosomal RNA". It matches the Rfam family "Bacterial small subunit ribosomal RNA", at positions 30 to 523 of the family's 1533-position model. The record is from RNAcentral.
AUUGAACGCUGGCGGCAUGCCUUACACAUGCAAGUCGAACGGCAGCACGGGAGCAAUCCUGGUGGCGAGUGGCGAACGGGUGAGUAAAGUAUCGGAACGUGCCCAGUCGUGGGGGAUAUCGUAGCGAAAGUUACGCUAAUACCGCAUACGAUCUAUGGAUGAAAGCGGGGGAUCGCAAGACCCUGCGCGAUUGGAGCGGCCGAUAUCAGAUUAGGUAGUUGGUGGGGUAAAGGCUCACCAAGCCGACGAUCUGUAGCUGGUCUGAGAGGACGACCAGCCACACUGGGACUGAGACACGGCCCAGACUCCUACGGGAGGCAGCAGUGGGGAAUUUUGGACAAUGGGCGAAAGCCUGAUCCAGCCAUGCCGCGUGCAGGAUGAAGGCCUUCGGGUUGUAAACUGCUUUUGUACGGAACGAAAAGGUUUGGCCUAAUAAGCUGAGCUCAUGACGGUACCGUAAGAAUAAGCACCGGCUAACUACGUGCCAGCCGCCGCGGUAA